GUGCCAGCCGCCGCGGUAAUACGUAGGGGGCAAGCGUUAUCCGGAAUUACUGGGCGUAAAGGGUGCGUAGGCGGUCUGGUAAGUCAGAGGUGAAAGACUAUUGCUCAACGAUAGCAAGCCUUUGAAACUACCGGACUUGAGUGCAGGAGAGGAGAGUGGAAUUUCUAGUGUAGCGGUGAAAUGCGUAGAUAUUAGAAGGAACACCAGUGGCGAAGGCGACUCUCUGGACUGCAACUGACGCUGAGGCACGAAAGCGUGGGGAGCGAACAGGAUUAGAUACCCUGGUAGUCCACGCCGUAAACGAUGAGUGCUAGGUGUCGGGGGUCAAACCUCGGUGCCGGAGCUAACGCAAUAAGCACUCCGCCUGGGGAGUACGCUCGCAAGAGUAAAACUCAAAGGAAUUGACGGGGACCCGCACAAGUAGCGGAGCAUGUGGUUUAAUUCGACGCAACGCGAAGAACCUUACCUAAACUUGACAUCCUUCUGAAAGGACCUUAAUCGGUUCCCUCCUUCGGGACAGAAGUGACAGGUGGUGCAUGGUUGUCGUCAGCUCGUGUCGUGAGAUGUUGGGUUAAGUCCCGUAACGAGCGCAACCCUUGUCUUUAGUUGCCAGCAAGUAAUGUUGGGCACUCUAGAGAGACUGCCGUGGAUAACACGGAGGAAGGUGGGGAUGACGUCAAAUCAUCAUGCCCCUUAUGUU
RNAcentral lists this ribosomal RNA (700 nucleotides) under uncultured bacterium. Its description in RNAcentral is "bacterial SSU rRNA". It matches the Rfam family "Bacterial small subunit ribosomal RNA", at positions 505 to 1208 of the family's 1533-position model. The record is from RNAcentral.